AGGAGUGAUGGUUUUGAAUUGAAAGAGGAUAGAUUUAGAUUAAAUAUAAGAAAGAAAUUCUUCACUGUGAGGGUGGUGAGAUGCUGGGACAGGUUGCCCAGUGAAGGUGUGGAAGUGUUCAAGGCCAGGUUGGACGGGGCUUUGAGC
This is a long non-coding RNA of Athene cunicularia (burrowing owl), 147 nucleotides long. RefSeq lists it as uncharacterized. Lineage: Eukaryota; Metazoa; Chordata; Aves; Strigiformes; Strigidae. The transcript has 3 exons. The record is from RefSeq and is a predicted model, not a curated record.